RNAcentral lists this non-coding RNA (29 nucleotides) under Rattus norvegicus (Norway rat). The record is from RNAcentral. Lineage: Eukaryota; Metazoa; Chordata; Mammalia; Rodentia; Muridae.
UGAUUUUGAAUUCUCUUUCUGAUAGGCUA